CGGGUGGCCCGUGGCGUCGGCUGCUUCGGGCCCUGAUUCUGGAAAGGGGCCUGUAGGGCCCCGCGCCCUGGUUGCUGUCCCUUCCCACAGGCGCCUGGUUGAUGCCAAAGUCUUCUCUCUGCGCAGUAGCUCUGGCGGUUUCCUCCUGCAGGGUGCAUCUGUAGAGGAGAGGCUUGAGAAAAAGGAGGAGCAGGACAAUGGCCUGGAUUUCUGGAGGCCUACUUUAAAGCUGCUCACUUCUGCAAGGAAGGAAAGGAGAAGGAGAGUGGAUCAAAUCUCUGGAGGACAGCCUGCUCUCUGCUAUAGGGCUUAAUACCACUGAAACAAAGCAAGGAGGGAGAAAUCGCAACAUAUCCGUGCAGGUUGGUAUGAGAGUGGGUACAAAUUUGGGUGGGGAAGUGGAGAUCAAUACUCGUCCACGAGUGAUUAGGGUCUAGUCUAG
This 442-nucleotide long non-coding RNA is filed under the name Ursus americanus (American black bear). RNAcentral's name for it is "lncRNA (ENSUAMG00000009939.1)". The record is from RNAcentral. Lineage: Eukaryota; Metazoa; Chordata; Mammalia; Carnivora; Ursidae.